UCAUUAUUUUUACAGUCUUAUUUCUUAUUCUUGAGUGAUUGUUUGAGUAUGCUUGUGUCUCACUAGAACUUGUCUUGGUUUCUCCCUCGAGGUCACAUAGUGUGCUUAAUAACUUUAAGAUGAUAGAAGGCCAUCUUUGCUAGCCUAUUUAUCCCAUAUUUGUCCUAUAUCUUUAUAUGAUCCUAGUUCAACCCCUUUGAGCCUUAUUUUUCCAUAUUCUUUGAUUUAGCUAUGGGUGAGAGCUUGGAAAUUGUUAAUAUGGAAUAGUUGGUUUGUGGAGAUGAAUGAUCAUGAGUUAUGUUUUUUGAUUUCAA
Molecule: long non-coding RNA, 314 nt
Filed under: Salvia miltiorrhiza (redroot sage)
Lineage: Eukaryota; Viridiplantae; Streptophyta; Magnoliopsida; Lamiales; Lamiaceae
Description: long non-coding RNA (SMIL_LNC010220)
Source: RNAcentral